AACGAACGCUGGCGGCGCGCCUAAUACAUGCAAGUCGAGCGAGAAGACGUAGCAAUACGUUUGUAAAGCGGCGAACGGGUGAGGAAUACAUGGGUAACCUACCCUCGAGUGGGGAAUAACUAGCCGAAAGGUUAGCUAAUACCGCGUACGCUCCUUGGACUUCGGUUCAGGGAGGAAAGCGAUACCGUGGGUAUCGCGCUCUUGGAUGGGCUCAUGUCCUAUCAGCUUGUUGGUGAGGUAACGGCUCACCAAGGCUUCGACGGGUAGCUGGUCUGAGAGGACGAUCAGCCACACUGGCACUGCGACACGGGCCAGACUCCUACGGGAGGCAGCAGUAAGGAAUAUUGCGCAAUGGACGAAAGCCUGACGCAGCGACGCCGCGUGGGGGA
Molecule: ribosomal RNA, 389 nt
Filed under: uncultured bacterium
Lineage: Bacteria
Description: bacterial SSU rRNA
Rfam family: Bacterial small subunit ribosomal RNA
Source: RNAcentral